GCUAUUUACCGGCCUACCGGUUGUAUCCCGCAUGUUGAGACUGGCGCAUGCGCGAUACGAGGGGUCCUCUGGAGUGAUCUGGUUUCCAAUCGCAUAAUCCAGGUGUGUUAGUCCGACUUUUCAAAAACAGAACACUAUCGGAUUAAGGUGUUUCCAUGGGUUGUAAAAGGCUUAUUUAGCGCCAAACUACUUGAGAAAUCGGACUAAUUUAGUGCAUUGACACAUACUGAUUGAUACCCCAAGUUGUUAUUGAUGAUUUUGUCACGGUCCGGGUGCAUGCCAAUACGCACUCAUCUGUGCGCUCUGAUGAGAGCACCUUCAAGAGCGCACUUCCAGGAGCACGCUAGGCGCGUGUCAGUCCUGCUGCAGCCGGCAGCUGCAAUCAAUCACCUGCAAUCAGCGCAUCUGUUGUUGAUGAGAGGUCCUGCCUUCCUAAGCCUGCUCAACCUGCUAUCCGGCGCCAGAACGUAACCAUCCGUUCGUGUACCACCUCCGCUCCCGCGUUGACGUGCUGUGUGUCUCGUCAUUCCUUGUUCCUCUGCUUCCCGGACUGCCUCUUGGAUCCCGACCUCCUGCUUGGACAUGGACCUCCUACGCCCCGCUAUAGCCCCCGACUUCCUGCUUGCCUCAUGGACAUUCGAGCCUGCCAUUCCCCUCCGUGACUUCCGCCUCUCGCUCAACACUCCCGGUAACACACAACAGCUAAUCUCCACACAUAGUGUCACAGACACACACUUUGGAUUCGUCACACUC
Entelurus aequoreus (snake pipefish) is the source of this 753-nucleotide long non-coding RNA. RefSeq lists it as uncharacterized. Lineage: Eukaryota; Metazoa; Chordata; Actinopteri; Syngnathiformes; Syngnathidae. The record is from RefSeq and is a predicted model, not a curated record. The transcript has 3 exons.